GGCUGAUACAUAUUUUUCUAGGAUAUACUUUAUACUUGAUGGAUAGUCUUUAUAACCAAUCAUGUCUUAUGUGUCCAUGAUUUGUCCUAGAAACUAAUAAAGAUGAUUUUGUAUAUUCUCAAGGUGUUGAGAAUUUGAGACAUACAUCAUUACUGGUUAAUUUUUAAAUACUUCCGAUCGAAGGAUCGUCAUGGAGGACAGUGAUCAAUCCA
Molecule: long non-coding RNA, 212 nt
Filed under: Elaeis guineensis (African oil palm)
Lineage: Eukaryota; Viridiplantae; Streptophyta; Magnoliopsida; Arecales; Arecaceae
Description: long non-coding RNA (EGUI_LNC060753)
Source: RNAcentral